UUGAUCAUGGCUCAGAUUGAACCUUUGGCAGGAUGUUUUACACAUGCAAGUCGAACGGCAGCACGGACUUCGGUCUGGCGGUGACAGACAGGUGAGUAAUGUAUCGGAACGUGCCUAGUAGCGGGGGAUAACUACGCGAAAGCGUAGCUAAUACCGCAUACGCCCUUCGAGAAAGCGGGGGACAUCGGGCCUGCUAUUAGAACUGUAGCCGAUAUCGGAUUAGCUAGUUGGUGGGGUAACGGCUCGCAAGGCGACGAUCCGUAGCUGGUUUGAGGGGAUGACCAGCCACACUGGGACUGAGACACGGCCCAGACUCCUACGGGAGGCAGCAGUGGGGAAUUUUUGGACAAUGGGGAAACCCUGAUCCAGCCAUCCGCGUGUGCGAUGAAGGCCUUCGGGUUGUAAAGCACUUUUGGCAGGAAAAGAAACGGCACGGGAUAAUACCCGUGCAACUGACAGUACCUGCAGAAUAAGCACCGGCUAACUACGUGCCGCUGGCCCGCGACAAUACGUAGGGUGCAAGCGUUAAUCGGAAUUACUGGGCGUAAAGCGUGCGCAGGCGGUUCGGAAAGAAAGAUGUGAAAUCCCAGAGCUUAACUUUGGAACUGCAUUUUAACUACCGAGCUAGAGUGUGUCAGGAGGUGGAAUUCCACGCGUGUGGCAGUGAAAUGCGUAUUAGUGUACGGAGGAACUGCCGAUGGCGAAGCGGCCUCCUGGGAUAACACUGACGCUCAUGCACGAAAGAAAGCGUGGGAGCAAACAGGAUUAGAUACCUGGUAGUCCCACGCCCUAAACGAUGUCAACUAGCUGUUGGGGCCUUCGGGCCUUGGUAGCGCAGCUAACGCGUGAAGUUGACCGCCUGAAGGAUACGGUCGCAAGAUUAAAACUCCAAAGGGAAUUGACGGGGACCCGCACAAGCGGUGGAUGAUGUGGAUUAAUUCGAUGCAACGCGAAAACCUUACCUACCCUUGACAUGUCUGGGAUCCAGAAGAGAUUUGGGAAUUAUCGCAAGAGAACCCGGAACCGGUGCUGUGGCUGUCGUCAGCUCGUGUGGUGAGAUCGUUGGGUUCCCGAGUCACGUGAGCUGGCCGCUGUCGUGGAUUGCUACGAAAGGGCACUCUAAUGAGACUGCCGGUGACAAACCGGAGGAAGGUGGGGAUGACGUCCAAGUCCUCAUGGCCCUUAUGGUGAGGGCUUCGCACGUCAUACAAUGGUCGGGACAGAGGGUCGCCAACCCCGCGAGGGACGUCAGAAACCCGAUCGUAGUCCGGAUCGCAGUCUGCAACUCGACUGCGUGGGGUGAAUCGCUGGUAAUCGCGGAUCAGCAUGUCAUGAUGAAUACGUUCCCGGGUCAUGCAUACACACCGCCCGUCACACCAUGGGAGUGGGUUUACCAGAAAGUAGUUAGCCUAACCGUAAGGAGGGCGAUUACCACGGUAGGAUUCAUGACUGGGGUGAAGUCGUAACAAGGUAG
RNAcentral lists this ribosomal RNA (1474 nucleotides) under uncultured Bordetella sp. RNAcentral's name for it is "partial 16S-23S ribosomal RNA intergenic spacer". It matches the Rfam family "Bacterial small subunit ribosomal RNA". The record is from RNAcentral. Lineage: Bacteria; Pseudomonadati; Pseudomonadota; Betaproteobacteria; Burkholderiales; Alcaligenaceae.